AAAGCCUACCAUUGGGGGGGAAAAAAGUCAUUUCAGAUCACAAGCUUAACAGUAUGUUUAAAGCAUGCAUAUUUUCUACCAAGGACGGCAAUAGUGAGAUACUUUUCAAUAUAGCACAGCUUGAUAACAGAACCUGUUAAAUUUGGUGGUAAGCCAUGUGUCUACUCCUUCCUAGAACAUGGCUCAGAAGCUGGCACAGCGGAGGGGUUUAACAGUCACUUGCUGAUGAAUGAGCUAACAUGUGCCCAAAAGAGGAAGACAGGGCAGCUAACAGAAAAUAUACAAAUAACACUUAACAGUUGCUGACAAUCAGCCCAUAAGUAUUUCCUGAUAUUUAGACCAUGUCAUGUACUCUGCAGGAUAAAAAAUUUAGAUAAAAAAUUUAGAAUGUAUCAUAUACAAAGCGAAAUAGGAAAAGACUAGAAUCCGGGAUUGCCCAGUGCAAGCAAACUACAGCCUGUUUUUGUGUGGCUCAUGAGCCAAGAAUGGUUUUUACAUUUGUAAAGUAUUAAAAAAAAGAAGAAUAAAGUGUAACUAGAUGUGGCCUACAAAGUCUAAAAUAUUUACUUUCUGGCCUUUACAAAAGAAAGUGUCCUGGUCCCUGGAAUGGGACAGCACUGCCCAGCAGACUCUGCAGCGGCGGAAGAGUUCUUGUAUGUGCACCUUCCAACACAGAGCCACUCCCAAACUCAUCCAGCUAGCGGACAUUUGAAAUGGGACUAAGGAACUGAAUUUUUAAUGUUCUUUAACUUACAUGCAAAUAGCCACAUGUGGCCAUGGCUACCACACUGGACAGGUAUAAAGUAAAAAAAUGCUUCUGGAAAUGAAUGAAGGGGCUGGAUGGUGGUGAGGACUUCCUAGGGUAGCCAAGGGCUUUCAGUUGAGUGCUUAGAACACAUGACUGCUGUCCUAUAGUUACUGCAAACGGCUUAGAGUUACCAUGUUCACUGAUCUGAAGAAAGCCGUGGAUAAUGCUUCUUUAUGUUUUUUCAUGCAAAGUAUACAACAUGUACACUUCAGCAAGGGGUGGAGAGAAAAUGAAACAGUACUAUGAAUAGCUAAAACUUUUACAAAAGGCAUUUAUGGAAUUAAGUAGGCUUUCAAGUAACUUACUUUUGCAUAUAGAAAGAUUCUAGUUGUCUAAAAUCAGUGCCGAAGCCUUUCUGCUUCAUGAAUUUCUGGAUAUUUGGAUUGCUCUCCCUUAACACACACACACACACAAAAAAACACGAUUAAAAUUUCAUUAGUGUGAUAUGCCCAAUCUAUGUAAAGCAGCGUCAUCUUACCAUCAUUUUACCGACUUUAACUAUUAAAGUUGUAAAGUAAAAACUUA
Molecule: long non-coding RNA, 1333 nt
Organism: Pipistrellus kuhlii (Kuhl's pipistrelle)
Lineage: Eukaryota; Metazoa; Chordata; Mammalia; Chiroptera; Vespertilionidae
Exons: 2
Source: RefSeq, a predicted model, not a curated record